Molecule: long non-coding RNA, 506 nt
Organism: Portunus trituberculatus (swimming crab)
Lineage: Eukaryota; Metazoa; Arthropoda; Malacostraca; Decapoda; Portunidae
Exons: 4
Source: RefSeq, a predicted model, not a curated record
CCCCUCCCCCCUGUCCUCUCAGUACAGUUCCCGUCCUCAGUCUUCCUCUAACUGAGAGCACGGAGAGGUACCUUCACUCGUCGUAAUAAUUGAAGUACAAAUUGUCCAGGAAAGUUCUCUGAUGUUACCGGAUCGUUAUACGUGAAGGACCUUCCGGUGCUCGAGCAGUGUUGUACGGGCACCAGGGAAGACAUGCCGACUUUAUUGACUGGUCGCCGCCAGGACAAUUUACUUUUACAUCUUUCUUAAAAGGACAUUGCGACGGUGCAGCAGGAGGAUGGCGCUCUUCUGGGCCCACCAGUACACCGCCAAGCCUCCCAGUUGGAUUCUCAAUCUGUAACUGUUUUUGAAAACACCGACACCGUUGCCACAGGAGCGUGUGUGUGGUGUUCCUUUCCACAUCACAUCUCCAUGCAACAGGACCAUGCAACACACAUAUUAUAAGUAAAUGAUACAAUUUAAGAUAAUUUGUUAAAAUAAAUAAAAAAAAAAAAAUUGAAUUGGCA